RNAcentral lists this ribosomal RNA (1347 nucleotides) under metagenome. RNAcentral's name for it is "bacterial SSU rRNA". It matches the Rfam family "Bacterial small subunit ribosomal RNA", at positions 104 to 1447 of the family's 1533-position model. The record is from RNAcentral.
GGGUGAGUAAUACAUCGGAACGUGCCCAGUAGUGGGGGAUAGCCCGGCGAAAGCCGGAUUAAUACCGCAUACGACCUAAGGGUGAAAGCGGGGGAUUCGCAAGAACCUCGCGCUAUUGGAGCGGCCGAUGUCAGAUUAGCUAGUUGGUGGGGUAAAGGCCUACCAAGGCUACGAUCUGUAGUUGGUCUGAGAGGACGACCAGCCACACUGGGACUGAGACACGGCCCAGACUCCUACGGGAGGCAGCAGUGGGGAAUUUUGGACAAUGGGGGCAACCCUGAUCCAGCAAUGCCGCGUGCAGGAAGAAGGCCUUCGGGUUGUAAACUGCUUUUGUCAGGGAAGAAAUCCUCUGAGAUAAUACCUCGGGGGGAUGACGGUACCUGAAGAAUAAGCACCGGCUAACUACGUGCCAGCAGCCGCGGUAAUACGUAGGGUGCGAGCGUUAAUCGGAAUUACUGGGCGUAAAGCGUGCGCAGGUGGCUUUGCAAGACAGAUGUGAAAUCCCCGGGCUUAACCUGGGAACUGCAUUUGUGACUGCAAGGCUAGAGUACGGCAGAGGGGGAUGGAAUUCCGCGUGUAGCAGUGAAAUGCGUAGAUAUGCGGAGGAACACCAAUGGCGAAGGCAAUCCCCUGGGCCUGUACUGACGCUCAUGCACGAAAGCGUGGGGAGCAAACAGGAUUAGAUACCCUGGUAGUCCACGCCCUAAACGAUGUCAACUGGUUGUUGGACGGCUUGCUGUUCAGUAACGAAGCUAACGCGUGAAGUUGACCGCCUGGGGAGUACGGCCGCAAGGUUGAAACUCAAAGAAAUUGACGGGGACCCGCACAAGCGGUGGAUGAUGUGGUUUAAUUCGAUGCAACGCGAAAAACCUUACCUACCCUUGACAUGUUAAGAAUCUUGCAGAGAUGUGGGAGUGCUCGAAAGAGAACUUAAACACAGGUGCUGCAUGGCCGUCGUCAGCUCGUGUCGUGAGAUGUUGGGUUAAGUCCCGCAACGAGCGCAACCCUUGUCAUUAGUUGCUACAUUUAGUUGGGCACUCUAAUGAGACUGCCGGUGACAAACCGGAGGAAGGUGGGGAUGACGUCAGGUCCUCAUGGCCCUUAUGGGUAGGGCUACACACGUCAUACAAUGGCCGGUACAGAGGGCUGCCAACCCGCGAGGGGGAGCUAAUCCCAGAAAACCGGUCGUAGUCCGGAUCGCAGUCUGCAACUCGACUGCGUGAAGUCGGAAUCGCUAGUAAUCGCGGAUCAGCAUGUCGCGGUGAAUACGUUCCCGGGUCUUGUACACACCGCCCGUCACACCAUGGGAGCGGGUUCUGCCAGAAGUAGUUAGCCUAACCGCAAGGA